This 253-nucleotide ribosomal RNA is filed under the name uncultured bacterium. Its description in RNAcentral is "partial 16S ribosomal RNA". It matches the Rfam family "Bacterial small subunit ribosomal RNA", at positions 524 to 776 of the family's 1533-position model. The record is from RNAcentral.
UACGUAGGGGGCAAGCGUUGCUCGGAAUCACUGGGCGUAAAGGGCGCGUAGGCGGGAUGGCAAGUCAGUCGUGAAAUCUCUCGGCUCAACCGAGAAACGUCGGCUGAUACUGCCGUUCUUGAGGGAUGCAGAGGAGACUGGAAUUCCCGGUGUAGCGGUGAAAUGUGUAGAGAUCGGGAGGAACACCAGUGGCGAAGGCGGUGCUCUGGGCCGGAACUGACGCUGAGGAGCGAAAGCGUGGGGAGCAAACAGG